AUUUCACCUUUGAGCUUGUUUUAUGCGCCUGCAACAGUUUCCACCUUCAAGACAGAGGAAUCACAUCCCACUGAUGAUGUAAUUCAAUAAAUGUGAUCAUCCAAACAUGUCAGAGAUAAAUCCCUCAAGACCAAGGGAAAGCACAGACUCUAUGGAGGAACCCACUGGCAGCCCUUCAGAUGAGUCAAACAAACCUUCAGGUGGAAGAGAAAGCCC
Long non-coding RNA from Clupea harengus (Atlantic herring), 216 nucleotides. RefSeq lists it as uncharacterized. The record is from RefSeq and is a predicted model, not a curated record. NCBI's taxonomy places the organism in Eukaryota, Metazoa, Chordata, Actinopteri, Clupeiformes, Clupeidae. The transcript is spliced from 4 exons.